Molecule: long non-coding RNA, 1828 nt
Organism: Lactuca sativa (garden lettuce)
Lineage: Eukaryota; Viridiplantae; Streptophyta; Magnoliopsida; Asterales; Asteraceae
Source: RefSeq, a predicted model, not a curated record
UUUAUAUAGAAAAUAUAAGAUUUUUCCUGUGAAAAUACGUUUUUUUUUCUUUUUUUAUAAAUAUGAUUUUUUAAAGAAAAAACAUAUUAGAAACAACUUUUUGAGAAAAAAAUUAUAAAAAAACUAAAUUUAGGAUGAAUUCAUAAUAAAAUUCUAAAAUUUGGGCAAAUAGGGUAAAGUUUGGACCAAAUUUUUAACAAAAUUUAAAAUCUGGGCCAAAAGUGUAAAUUUUGGACCAAAUUUGUAAUAAAUUUUGAAAUCUGGGCAAAAAAUGUAAUUUUUGAAAGUUGGAUGACCUUUUGACGGGGUCAAAGGGUUAAAUUGAAUACUAUUACCAGUAUUUGGGAUAUAAUUGAAUAAAAAAAUAUAUAUGGACUAAAUCGAUUAUGAGGCAAAUAUGUAAGAACUUUAUUGCAAAUUUCCCUUUCUUAAAUAGAGAACAAUUGAGAACAAAUUGCAAUCACUCAUUUUAAAAAACGAAAUUUAUUAUUCAUUAUUUAGAAAAUAAAAAUAGCAUCCCACCUAUCCUAUCCCCACACCUCAUAAUAUUACAUUGAAGUAGCUCCACCAAAGACGACCGGACCGUCACCAACCAUCGGACUACCGGACCACCAUCGAAUCGACUGGAACACCGUCGGAGUGAUCGGACCACCAACAAAAUGCUGUUUCUUCACUCACUAUAGAUCUUCUUUGACAUCCUUUUUUCGCCCCCAUUCGUUCGCUCAUCGAAAACUACUUCCUCCCAUCUUCUUGAACUGGCGCCCCAAACAAUUUCAUUCUUCUAUCCUCUUCCUGAACCAUCUCAUUCCGCCUCUCAUCUUCCUUAGUUGGAAAGCACUUCGUCGGAAAGCACCUCCGUUUCGUAUCCUUUCUGAUCUCGUUUUCUGUCGGUUGCCAGAUCUGGUUUCAUCGGUGACGAAUCUGAAGCAGAAGGAAACCGUAUCUAGUUUCCGAUUCGGUUUCACUAGCCAUUGUAGUUGCAAUACAAAGUUUUCCCGAUCUGCUUUCAUCGGACAUCGUCAAAUUAUAUCUCAAACAUCGUCGAUUUGUAUCUCAAACACUAAUAGCCGGUAUAUCUCAAACACUUCCUUCUCAGAUACUAUUCGUGAUAUAUUGUCUUUACCAGAGGAGAAAAAUGGAUGAAUGUGCUCAUUUUUAGAGAUUUUCUUCAACUUCAUGUUGCCGGAGAUGGUAUCGAUCGAUGUCCAUUCCAUUGGUGGCCGAUUCCUUUUCCCUAAUGAGGAGUUGCUUUUCACGGCGAGCUUCACGAUGAGCAAUAAAAUACAUGCUCAGGUGAAAAAGAAAGAUGAUUAAGUGAUUGGAAGCUUGGAGAAUAAAAGAAGGUUGUAACAUGAAGAACUCGACGAGUUGACCCUCAACUCGACGAGUUGGUGAGAAUAUUUUUGAUUCAAGGAUGCAUUGUCGUACACGUUGCAAACGCGGAAUAUUGAAAAAACUUGUCGAGUUAUUCUAAAAAACUCAACGAGUUAGGUUGAUUUUUGGAAACUAUAAAUAGAUAACAUCUAUGCCUGAAACCCUAACUUUUGCUGAAGGCUAGCUGCGAUUAUUGAAGACCAGAAGGGUUCUUGAAGCUUCAGAUUUCGAGAAUUCAACAUAAGAGGCAAUUUAAAAGAGAAUCAAAGUCAAAUAAUCAUUCUUCUUUUCUUAAUCUUUGUUUUGAACCAUGUUUGAAUCAUUAAAUUUUGAUUUUAGGUUAUUACUUGCUUUAGAUAUGAGCUAAAAGCUUUUUACUUCUGUUUGGAUGAGAUGAUCUUAUGAAUGUGGUUUGAUUGAGUGGUUGGAUUAAUGUUAAUUUGGUUAUUCAUCU